AACACAGGCAUUGUGUUUUCAUAGGCUGA
This 29-nucleotide non-coding RNA is filed under the name Rattus norvegicus (Norway rat). The record is from RNAcentral. Lineage: Eukaryota; Metazoa; Chordata; Mammalia; Rodentia; Muridae.